CCACUAUUUAAGAAACACUGGAAUAACCCAACGCCCCGAUGUCGUGAUGCAAAUCGAAGUCAUUUCCGGGUGUUACUUUCCAAACAUCAGUAAAAUGUCAUAAUAUAAUAUUUAAAAUAAUAAAAUAAGAAUAAAUUAAUAAAAAAUAAAUGCCCGAUGAACGUGUGGUAGCUCAAUGCUAACAUAUAAUGGGACGCCACAGACAGGCUAAUCUAAAUUAGCAUCAAUGUUAGGGGAAGAAAAUGGCUCAUCUUCAAACAACUGCUACUUAACACACAUGCAACUUCAACACAGCAUACAGCCUAACUCUAAGUCAGAGACUUCAGCCAAGGCCAUCCAACCAUUUUCUAUAGCACUUGUGCUCAUUGAGGUCACAGGGCAGCUGGAGCUGACUUUGGGCGAGAGGAAUGGUACAUCCUGGACUGAUUGCCAACUACUCACAUGUAAUUUUUGUGCCACUCAAUUUUCAUGCUGACCUUGUCGAAUUGAACGGUUUCAACCAUACCACGUGUGUCAUCUCUUUGGCAGUUGCCUGCUAACGCCCUCGAUUGCAAUGUUCAAAACAUCAAGAAAAAUGUAUAUAAUUUUUGGCUUUGUACCCAAAAUCAAUUAGAUUCUCAUUUCCUGUUGUCAAACACAACAAAACCAAUGUUUCAAUGCAAGUAACUGAGUAACCACAAUUGCUGUAAAGUAUGCCUUGAAAUGCUUACAAGGACAAAUUAGGGAUUGUAAUGAGUGACUGCUGCGCUGUGCUCAGCCCCCAAAAGUGACUAAACUAAUAGCGAGUCCAAAAAAAAAAAAUCGAAAGAGGUUUGCAUAGCUCACGCUCUACAGUGCAGAACAUUAAGGGAUGUAUCAAGAAAUAUGAGGUGUUGCACGAAAAGGCAAGGGAGCUCCUCAAAGUUGGACACCACUGAUCAACAACUGAAUCGCCCGAAAAAAAACAUGAUGCUUAAGUCAUACUCUCCACGAUGAAACUAUUUUCUUCAGGUGGCUGAAUAUGCAGAAAAAUAAACAUAAAAGAAACUCA
This is a long non-coding RNA of Hippocampus zosterae (dwarf seahorse), 1030 nucleotides long. RefSeq lists it as uncharacterized. The record is from RefSeq and is a predicted model, not a curated record. The transcript has 2 exons. Lineage: Eukaryota; Metazoa; Chordata; Actinopteri; Syngnathiformes; Syngnathidae.